Molecule: RNA transcript, 843 nt
Organism: Rhododendron vialii
Lineage: Eukaryota; Viridiplantae; Streptophyta; Magnoliopsida; Ericales; Ericaceae
Gene name: protein NUCLEAR FUSION DEFECTIVE 6, mitochondrial-like
Exons: 4
Source: RefSeq, a predicted model, not a curated record
CAAUAAACUGGUACACUCCAGGUUUUGCUAUUUUCACCAGCCAAACACCUCCCUAGGGUUUAGUCAUCUUUCUUGAAUGCAAACACAGCACUAAAACCCCUUGCAAAAUCACAACCACAGGAACUCCUUCUACUUUCCCAUUGAAUCCAUAAAACUCAAACCCCAAAUCUUUAGACUCCGCCAUGGCCAGCGCCGCCGCCGCCAGAUGCGUUUUCCGAUCGAAUGCCGUUCGAAAUGUGGCGGCCAGAGUCGCCUCCGAAGCGAAAGCCGCUCGCUCCUCUCCCUUCCGCGUUUCGAGCAGAAGUCCUCUCUCUCAUCGAAUCUUCAGGUGUCCGGCUGAAAUGAGUGUUUUUGCUGGUUCAAUGCAACCAUUCCACACUGCUACUGCUUCGGCAUUGAUGACUUCAAUGCUCUCCAUCUCGCGUUGCGGUUACGGGUGGCUUCCCGAAGGCUAUGAAGCAAAAACGCUCCUAGAGAUCGCCUCAUCCGUAUCGGACACUUUGGGGACACGUAGGGAACACACCAAAUUUUGUGUCCAAUAAAUUAUGAUAUUCCUCACGGUGGGACAUGCCUGGGGCACACUUGGGACAAGGCAGAGUGAUUUUUAUAAAUUUCAAAAGUUUUUUCGAGGCAUUGACUGGACUAGAUGAAGGUGGACAAGCAAAAAUGAAAUGAUUUGUUUUAUUUUUAGUUGGAAGCUUUGUAGUAACUUGCGUGUUCAAUAGAUUAGGCGGCUGGCUAUAAUCCACUGUUAAUGACAGAGGCCAUUAGUUUGGGAGUUGUAAAUUGACAACUCCAUAACACAAUGCUUUUUAUUUAUACAUCUGGAUUUGUUUUUGGUUU